This 253-nucleotide long non-coding RNA is filed under the name Vigna radiata. RNAcentral describes it as "long non-coding RNA (VRAD_LNC018257)". Lineage: Eukaryota; Viridiplantae; Streptophyta; Magnoliopsida; Fabales; Fabaceae. The record is from RNAcentral.
UGGGUCCUUCAAAUAGAGCGUAAAUAGAACAGAAACGAAGUCCGACCAAUGUCGUUGGAGCUCAAGCAUCCCACAUAGGGCGCCCGGGCGGUGAGCGGUGGUCUUUGACGCUUAAGGCUUCAAAAGGGGCACCCAAGCUUCGUGCUUCUGAUGCUCAAGUGCCCCCAAAGGGGCGCUCGAGCGCUGAGCAACACUCUUCUGUGCUUAAGCCUCCAAAAUGGGCGCCCAAGCUUCGAGCAUUCCUCCCUUCUGG